This 385-nucleotide long non-coding RNA is filed under the name Androctonus crassicauda. Lineage: Eukaryota; Metazoa; Arthropoda; Arachnida; Scorpiones; Buthidae. The record is from RNAcentral.
GAGUUGCAAUGUAUUUUUGUGCUCGGAAAGAGACAUGGUUAUAGAGAGAGCUCCAUACAUGGCAUAUGGAAGAACAUAUGUAAGUCUAUGCAAGAAAUUAUACCACACACGCCGGCAGUAACCCAGAACACCGACACAAGACCUUAUGCGGCGAUUACUUACUACUCCAAUAUAGACAGAAUACUGCAUAAAUAUACUAAGCAUGGGAAAUAUAGGAUGGCCCUACGAGGGGCUAUUAGCUUUAAUAUCCUCCGAAAUGACGAGUGUAGUCCCAAGACACAAGAGGCCCGGUGUAUAUGCCAUCCCCUUUUAUGACAUAGAACAGAAUACGCAGCAGUUUUACAUAGGAAGCACGAGCAGGAGCCUUGAGAGGAGGAUAAAGGAA